Molecule: ribosomal RNA, 2923 nt
Filed under: Staphylococcus aureus
Lineage: Bacteria; Bacillati; Bacillota; Bacilli; Caryophanales; Staphylococcaceae
Description: 23S ribosomal RNA
Rfam family: Bacterial large subunit ribosomal RNA
Source: RNAcentral
GAUUAAGUUAUUAAGGGCGCACGGUGGAUGCCUUGGCACUAGAAGCCAAUGAAGGACGUUACUAACGACGAUAUGCUUUGGGGAGCUGUAAGUAAGCUUUGAUCCAGAGAUUUCCGAAUGGGGAAACCCAGCAUGAGUUAUGUCAUGUUAUCGAUAUGUGAAUACAUAGCAUAUCAGAAGGCACACCCGGAGAACUGAAACAUCUUAGUACCCGGAGGAAGAGAAAGAAAAUUCGAUUCCCUUAGUAGCGGCGAGCGAAACGGGAAGAGCCCAAACCAACAAGCUUGCUUGUUGGGGUUGUAGGACACUCUAUACGGAGUUACAAAGGACGACAUUAGACGAAUCAUCUGGAAAGAUGAAUCAAAGAAGGUAAUAAUCCUGUAGUCGAAAAUGUUGUCUCUCUUGAGUGGAUCCUGAGUACGACGGAGCACGUGAAAUUCCGUCGGAAUCUGGGAGGACCAUCUCCUAAGGCUAAAUACUCUCUAGUGACCGAUAGUGAACCAGUACCGUGAGGGAAAGGUGAAAAGCACCCCGGAAGGGGAGUGAAAUAGAACCUGAAACCGUGUGCUUACAAGUAGUCAGAGCCCGUUAAUGGGUGAUGGCGUGCCUUUUGUAGAAUGAACCGGCGAGUUACGAUUUGAUGCAAGGUUAAGCAGUAAAUGUGGAGCCGUAGCGAAAGCGAGUCUGAAUAGGGCGUUUAGUAUUUGGUCGUAGACCCGAAACCAGGUGAUCUACCCUUGGUCAGGUUGAAGUUCAGGUAACACUGAAUGGAGGACCGAACCGACUUACGUUGAAAAGUGAGCGGAUGAACUGAGGGUAGCGGAGAAAUUCCAAUCGAACCUGGAGAUAGCUGGUUCUCUCCGAAAUAGCUUUAGGGCUAGCCUCAAGUGAUGAUUAUUGGAGGUAGAGCACUGUUUGGACGAGGGGCCCCUCUCGGGUUACCGAAUUCAGACAAACUCCGAAUGCCAAUUAAUUUAACUUGGGAGUCAGAACAUGGGUGAUAAGGUCCGUGUUCGAAAGGGAAACAGCCCAGACCACCAGCUAAGGUCCCAAAAUAUAUGUUAAGUGGAAAAGGAUGUGGCGUUGCCCAGACAACUAGGAUGUUGGCUUAGAAGCAGCCAUCAUUUAAAGAGUGCGUAAUAGCUCACUAGUCGAGUGACACUGCGCCGAAAAUGUACCGGGGCUAAACAUAUUACCGAAGCUGUGGAUUGUCCUUUGGACAAUGGUAGGAGAGCGUUCUAAGGGCGUUGAAGCAUGAUCGUAAGGACAUGUGGAGCGCUUAGAAGUGAGAAUGCCGGUGUGAGUAGCGAAAGACGGGUGAGAAUCCCGUCCACCGAUUGACUAAGGUUUCCAGAGGAAGGCUCGUCCGCUCUGGGUUAGUCGGGUCCUAAGCUGAGGCCGACAGGCGUAGGCGAUGGAUAACAGGUUGAUAUUCCUGUACCACCUAUAAUCGUUUUAAUCGAUGGGGGGACGCAGUAGGAUAGGCGAAGCGUGCGAUUGGAUUGCACGCCUAAGCAGUAAGGCUGAGUAUUAGGCAAAUCCGGUACUCGUUAAGGCUGAGCUGUGAUGGGGAGAAGACAUUGUGUCUUCGAGUCGUUGAUUUCACACUGCCGAGAAAAGCCUCUAGAUAGAAAAUAGGUGCCCGUACCGUAAACCGACACAGGUAGUCAAGAUGAGAAUUCUAAGGUGAGCGAGCGAACUCUCGUUAAGGAACUCGGCAAAAUGACCCCGUAACUUCGGGAGAAGGGGUGCUCUUUAGGGUUAACGCCCAGAAGAGCCGCAGUGAAUAGGCCCAAGCGACUGUUUAUCAAAAACACAGGUCUCUGCUAAACCGUAAGGUGAUGUAUAGGGGCUGACGCCUGCCCGGUGCUGGAAGGUUAAGAGGAGUGGUUAGCUUCUGCGAAGCUACGAAUCGAAGCCCCAGUAAACGGCGGCCGUAACUAUAACGGUCCUAAGGUAGCGAAAUUCCUUGUCGGGUAAGUUCCGACCCGCACGAAAGGCGUAACGAUUUGGGCACUGUCUCAACGAGAGACUCGGUGAAAUCAUAGUACCUGUGAAGAUGCAGGUUACCCGCGACAGGACGGAAAGACCCCGUGGAGCUUUACUGUAGCCUGAUAUUGAAAUUCGGCACAGCUUGUACAGGAUAGGUAGGAGCCUUUGAAACGUGAGCGCUAGCUUACGUGGAGGCGCUGGUGGGAUACUACCCUAGCUGUGUUGGCUUUCUAACCCGCACCACUUAUCGUGGUGGGAGACAGUGUCAGGCGGGCAGUUUGACUGGGGCGGUCGCCUCCUAAAAGGUAACGGAGGCGCUCAAAGGUUCCCUCAGAAUGGUUGGAAAUCAUUCAUAGAGUGUAAAGGCAUAAGGGAGCUUGACUGCGAGACCUACAAGUCGAGCAGGGUCGAAAGACGGACUUAGUGAUCCGGUGGUUCCGCAUGGAAGGGCCAUCGCUCAACGGAUAAAAGCUACCCCGGGGAUAACAGGCUUAUCUCCCCCAAGAGUUCACAUCGACGGGGAGGUUUGGCACCUCGAUGUCGGCUCAUCGCAUCCUGGGGCUGUAGUCGGUCCCAAGGGUUGGGCUGUUCGCCCAUUAAAGCGGUACGCGAGCUGGGUUCAGAACGUCGUGAGACAGUUCGGUCCCUAUCCGUCGUGGGCGUAGGAAAUUUGAGAGGAGCUGUCCUUAGUACGAGAGGACCGGGAUGGACAUACCUCUGGUGUACCAGUUGUCGUGCCAACGGCAUAGCUGGGUAGCUAUGUGUGGACGGGAUAAGUGCUGAAAGCAUCUAAGCAUGAAGCCCCCCUCAAGAUGAGAUUUCCCAACUUCGGUUAUAAGAUCCCUCAAAGAUGAUGAGGUUAAUAGGUUCGAGGUGGAAGCAUGGUGACAUGUGGAGCUGACGAAUACUAAUCGAUCGAAGACUUAAUCAA